This 428-nucleotide ribosomal RNA is filed under the name Bacteroidota bacterium. RNAcentral's name for it is "Bacteroidetes bacterium partial 16S ribosomal RNA". It matches the Rfam family "Bacterial small subunit ribosomal RNA", at positions 355 to 776 of the family's 1533-position model. The record is from RNAcentral. Lineage: Bacteria; Pseudomonadati; Bacteroidota.
UAGGGAAUCUUCCGCAAUGGACGCAAGUCUGACGGAGCAACGCCGCGUGAGUGAAGAAGGAUUUCGGUUCGUAAAACUCUGUUGUUAGAGAAGAACAGCGCAUAGAGUAACAGUUAUGCGUGUGACGGUAUCUAACCAGAAAGCCACGGCUAACUACGUGCCAGCAGCCGCGGUAAUACGUAGGUGGCAAGCGUUGUCCGGAUUUAUUGGGCGUAAAGCGAGCGCAGGCGGUUAGAUAAGUCUGAAGUUAAAGGGAGUGGCUCAACCAUUGUAGGCUUUGGAUACUGUUUAACUUGAGUGCAGAAGGGGAGAGUGGAAUUCCGUGUGUAGCGGUGAAAUGCGUAGAUAUAUGUAGGAACGCCGGUGGCGAAAGCGGCUCGCUGGUCUGUAACUGACGCUGAGGCUCGAAAGCGUGGGGAGCGAACAGG